CCUUCCUUCUGCCUCCUGGGAAACCUGGUCUUAACUGCAAUACUCAUCCUAAGAGGCAUGAAAACUGGGCAUUGGCAGGAGCUCUGUUCUUCAGGCUCUUCCUCUACCAAGGAGUCGGACACAGGGUUUCGCCAUGUUACCUGGGCUGGUGUCUAACUCCUGGGCUCAAGCGAUCCUCCCACCUCAGCCUCUCAAAGCGCUGGAAUUACAGGUGUGAGCCACCAUGCCCUGCCUCUGAUAGGAUUUUUCACCAAACAUCAGCCAGGAAUCUAAUGUCAGCUCUUUCCAGAGGAAUUAAGAGCCUUGGAAACAAAGUGCAGGCCUCAAGCAAAGCUUAGAUUUGGGAUUCUGUCUCCCCAUCCACCCCAAACAGCGAGACCUGUACCAACCAAUGGUCAAAGACCAUGAAACGAGGCAGCACCAACCAGACACUUACAGGCCCAGCAAGUGCCACACAGGAGUGACAUGGCAGGUAAGGUCCACAGCCAA
This is a long non-coding RNA of Gorilla gorilla gorilla (western lowland gorilla), 489 nucleotides long. RefSeq lists it as uncharacterized. The record is from RefSeq and is a predicted model, not a curated record. NCBI's taxonomy places the organism in Eukaryota, Metazoa, Chordata, Mammalia, Primates, Hominidae. The transcript has 3 exons.